AUAUCCCGAAGGCGAUGGUUGUGCUUGCUUGUCUUGCGCUCUCACUGCUCUGACGGAUGCUUUUAUUAGACCAAACUGCUGAGGACUUGAGGGUUCGCCUUCUUGUCUGACUCGUAUAAUGGUGACUCUGGAUAACCUUCUGACAAGCGCACGUACUUCUCUUCUGAGCGAGACGGCGCUGCCACUUUCGAGUGUCUGCCUUAUCAGCUAUCAACCGUUCGUUAUGCGCGACCGAUGGCUUUGACGGGUAACGGGGAAUCAGGGUUCGAUUCCGGAGAGGCAGCCUGAGAGACGGCUACCACGUCCAAGGACGGCAGCAGGCACGCAAAUUACCCAAUCCCAGCAAAUGGGGGAGGUAGUGACGAAAUCUAACGAUGCGGGCGCCCUUUCUGGGGCCCCGCAAUCGGAAUGGGCACUUUCUAAACAACCUGUUGAGAACCUACUGAAGGGCAAGUCUGGUGCCAGCAGCCGCGGUAAUUCCAGCUUCAGCAGCAUCUAUUAAAGUUGCUGCGGUUAAAAGGCUCGCAGUUGAAUGUCUGUAUCGAGCGCAGGUCAGGUGGACGUUGGGGCGUGGAAGUACGGGCUGUUGGAUGUUCGGAGGGCCUUCGUGCUCAACGGCUCCUUCGGCUUUUCCACACACCCCCGUCCGUGACAAGCCUCCUCGCUCGGGUACAUAACGGGAAUCGGUCAAACGGAGUGUGCUCGGAGGUCGUGGUGCGUGGCCUCGGUUGCGUGUCUCUUCUUUCGGGUGCGUUAAGCUCCAUCGGUUUCACGGUCACCUUGAGUAAAUCAGAGUGCUCAAAGCAGUCGUAGGGGCCUUGCGCCCUGUGAACAGUCUUGACGGACUGACUUGGUUUUGCAUGGCAUGUCGGAAGACGACGUCGUGUGCUGGCUCAGAGGAUAAAUCAGUGGUACAAGCCAGCCUCGACGUAAUGAUUAAAAGGGACGGUCGAGGGCAUUGGUAUUGCGAGGCGAGAGGUGAAAUUCUGUGACCCCCGCAAGACCUCCUGAAGCGAAAGCGUCUGCCAAGGACGUUUUCAUUAAUCAUGAACGAAAGUUAGAGGAUCGAAGGCGAUCAGAUACCGCCCUAGUUCUAACCCUAAACGAUGCCAACCAUCAAUCCGCGCGUAGCACCCUUCUUAACGGGCUCGGCGGGCAGCUCCCCACUCACGGGAAACCAGAGCCUCUGGGUUCCGGGGGGAGUCUGGUUGCAAAGCUGAAACUUAAAGGAAUUGACGGAAAGGCACCACCAGGCGUGGAGCCUGCGGCUUAAUUUGACUCAACACGGGCCAUCUCACCAGGCCAGCACUCUUGUACGAUUGACAGAUUGAGAGCUCUUUCUCGAU
Molecule: ribosomal RNA, 1346 nt
Filed under: Gammarus korbuensis
Lineage: Eukaryota; Metazoa; Arthropoda; Malacostraca; Amphipoda; Gammaridae
Description: bacterial SSU rRNA
Rfam family: Eukaryotic small subunit ribosomal RNA
Source: RNAcentral